Molecule: ribosomal RNA, 401 nt
Filed under: uncultured bacterium
Lineage: Bacteria
Description: bacterial SSU rRNA
Rfam family: Bacterial small subunit ribosomal RNA
Source: RNAcentral
UAUUGGACAAUGGGCGAAAGCCUGAUCCAGCAAUACCGCGUGUGUGAAGAAGGCCUUAGGGUUGUAAAGCACUUUCAAUUGGGAGGAAAACCUACCGGUCAAUACCCGGUAGCUUGACAUUACCUUUAGAAGAAGCACCGGCUAACUCCGUGCCAGCAGCCGCGGUAAUACGGAGGGUGCGAGCGUUAACCGGAAUUACUGGGCGUAAAGCGUGCGUAGGCGGUUCGUUAAGUCAGAUGUGAAAGCCCUGGGCUCAACCUGGGAACGGCAUUUGAAACUGGCGGACUAGAGUUUAGUAGAGGGGAGUGGAAUUUCAGGUGUAGCGGUGAAAUGCGUAGAUAUCUGAAGGAACACCAGUGGCGAAGGCGACUCCCUGGACUAGAACUGACGCUGAGACGAGC